RNAcentral lists this ribosomal RNA (386 nucleotides) under uncultured bacterium. Its description in RNAcentral is "bacterial SSU rRNA". It matches the Rfam family "Bacterial small subunit ribosomal RNA", at positions 30 to 418 of the family's 1533-position model. The record is from RNAcentral.
AUUGAACGCUGGCGGCAUGCCUUACACAUGCAAGUCGAACGGUAACGGGCCUUCGGGUGCCGACGAGUGGCGAACGGGUGAGUAAUGUAUCGGAACGUACCUUUCAGUGGGGGAUAACGUAGCGAAAGUUACGCUAAUACCGCAUAUUCUGUGAGCAGGAAAGCAGGGGAUCGCAAGACCUUGCGCUGAUUGAGCGGCCGAUAUCAGAUUAGCUAGUUGGUGAGGUAAAGGCUCACCAAGGCGACGAUCUGUAGCGGGUCUGAGAGGAUGAUCCGCCACACUGGAACUGAGACACGGUCCAGACUCCUACGGGAGGCAGCAGUGGGGAAUUUUGGACAAUGGGGGCAACCCUGAUCCAGCCAUGCCGCGUGAGUGAAGAAGGCCUU